GGCAUUACAUCCUGCUGGCCUAGAGGUCUUAGUUUCAGAGAGAAGAACACAGCCACCGGGAGACACAAUGAUUCCAUUAAACUGGAACUGAAGAUUGCCACCUGGACACUUUGGGCUUCUCCUACCUUUAAGUCAACAGGCUAAGAAGGGAGUUACAGUACUGGCUGGGGUGACUAACCUAGAUUAUCAAGAUGAAAUCAGUCUACUACUCCACAAUGGAGAGAAACCUCAGGAGGCCCAAAGUUUCUAUCUGUUCGAAGAAGAAUCUGGAAAUGGCUCUGGAUGCCCCAUCCAUAUCAAUUUUGCAGACCCGUCUGGAGCUCUGUUGCAGUGGAAGAAGCUGCAUAGGAGAAAGGAUGAAUGAGAGGGCUGAACACAAGAACACAGAAGGGACUGAAGCCUCCACUUUUCCCCACCUCUGCCUAUUGCCACAGUAUCUGGAUUAAAACUCUAUGCAUUG
This 460-nucleotide long non-coding RNA is filed under the name Homo sapiens (human). RNAcentral's name for it is "DDHD1 divergent transcript". Lineage: Eukaryota; Metazoa; Chordata; Mammalia; Primates; Hominidae. The record is from RNAcentral.